This 1270-nucleotide long non-coding RNA is filed under the name Apteryx owenii (little spotted kiwi). RNAcentral describes it as "lncRNA (ENSAOWG00000003730.1)". The record is from RNAcentral. Lineage: Eukaryota; Metazoa; Chordata; Aves; Apterygiformes; Apterygidae.
UUGAUAACGGGUACAGACCAUGCUCAUCAAUAGGUGCUCUUCUGUGCUCUGUUUUUCUUGUGAUGUUAUUGUAAAUAACGUGAUUUUCCACAUACCCUGCCACUAACAGAGAACUGGAGGUCAGCUCUGCAGAGUCUCAGCAAGCCACCUACAACAAUCCUUUUUCUUCAUCAUCUACAAAGGGAUUUAGUCUUCAGAAACUGUAUCAAACAGCUGCUGUAGCAUGCCCAGAAGGUCACYGAAUUUGGACUAUUUUGGAUCAAAGAGUAAAUUCCAGGUUCCCGGCGCCUGCCGUGAGAACAGCUUGCCUGGUCUGUGUGAGCGCGGGGGUGAUCGAGCACGAGUGCCCUUGCUGACCGCAGCUGCGACGCUACGGCGCGGGGAGCGAGCGCUGAAACCACCCGGCCGGGGAGAGCAGUGCUCCAGCCAGAAACGAAAUCCCGUUGUUGCAGAGGCUGCGCAAGCGGAGCGCGCCUGACCCGCGGCGCUUAUUAACGGGACGAAAGCAGCCGCAGGAAGAUUCUGAAGUGACAUUUUUAGAGGGUUGGGUGUCUCGGCAGAUUUGAAGGUUAUUGCCUCCGAUCGGCCUGCGUUUCCUGGUCUCAUCCCUUUGCUCGCACGGGUUUCGUGCUGCGUUUCGUGCCGGCAGGUGGUUUCUCAGCCACGGCCGCGUUGUCAGGUCUGUUAUCGAGCCCCGGGCAUCGAACGCCCUCGGUCCCCAACACGCUCCCUUCUUUGGGGRCUGCAGGAGCAUCGCCCAAGCGGCGGAGGAGCUGCCGGCACGGUCCGGGCCGUGGCACGAGCCGCCUUCCUGGGCCGUGCGGAGGCAGAUGCGAUACCUCCAGGGUCGUUAGCAGGCAUCGGCGUCGCCUGCUCGGGAUCUCGGUGCUGACGAGGCAGACGGCGUGUGUUCAGAGUUACUCCCGCACGAAGGAACRGUGAACUAGCCCAGGGCAAAGUGCAGGGCUGCUGAUCCCGUCCGCGGACUCUGAAGCAACAGGGCAAAAGAGUGACACGGUGGCUCGCUUGCGAAGGCUUCGCAAGGAAGGUGAAAGGUUGGGCGGCAGCAGCCUGCGUCUGCUGCGCGCGACUUCGUUGCYGGAGAAGUUUGGAGCGCGUGUCCCCGGGGUUCACCGCCGAGCCGGGUCUCUCCCUGGGCCAGCGGGGGGGGGGGUGAACGCUCCCGUCGGAGAAGAGUCGAAGCGGAGGAGGUCGGGUUAAUGCUGGGCUCCCYGCUGGACUCGGAGACCUUGAAACUCCUGCUUUCUGC